AGGCGCCCGGGCGAGUCCACCGUCGCCGAAGCGAGCGGGCGAGCGGGUGCGGCCACAGCUGGUUUGUGACCGGCUGCGGACUCCGGGCCGGCGCCGGGGCAGGCUGGAGCCUGCCACGCCCUGACCUGAAGCCGCCCUCUAAGGGGCGGAUCUUGAACUCCGGCUCCGGGAAUCGCUGAUGCCGUGCAGACAGCCAGGGUCUAGUGAAGACAAAAACUCCCAGGGCAUGCUGCCCCCCUUCCCACUGAAGGGAUAGAGUCUGACAGGGACCUAGGCCUUUCGGGGGAUCCCUCGACUUCUGUGGAAGGCUCAGAACCUCCUUUGAGAGAAAUUGUCUGGACUCAAUACUGUGUGCCUUUCUAAAGAGAGCCGUCUACCAGUGUGCCUUUGGCUUUUUUCUCUCUCUCUCCCCCUUUUAUGAUUGUUCAGGUGACAAAUGACUGUCAAUUUUUGCUCAAGGAAGUAUCUUCCAAAACCAUGGAUACAAUUCACAACCCACGAAAGUCCUAGCGAAGACCCUCCAAACUCCGGGCGUUAGCCAGUCAUCACUGUGACGAAGACCCAACAACCAGCUUCGAGGUUCCAGUCCAUAGGCGGCCGGCUCUAUUGUUUCUUGAUGAGGCAGAGCAUUCUGGGGAAGGGGUGUGGAAGCAAAGCUACAUACUUCAUGAGAUCUUAAAAAACAAAAACAUAAACAAAUAAAUAAAACAGUAAUUUGAGUA
Peromyscus eremicus (cactus mouse) is the source of this 722-nucleotide long non-coding RNA. RefSeq lists it as uncharacterized. NCBI's taxonomy places the organism in Eukaryota, Metazoa, Chordata, Mammalia, Rodentia, Cricetidae. The record is from RefSeq and is a predicted model, not a curated record. The transcript has 2 exons.